GUGGGUGCGUGCCUGCCAAUCGGAAGGUUGGUGUUUCGAUCCAUGGCCCUGCAGUCCCUUGUUGAAGUGUCCUUGGGCAAGACACUGAACCCCGAAUUGCCCCCGAUGCUGUGCCUUUGGAGUGUAAAUGCAUGUGAGUGUUCA
Etheostoma spectabile (orangethroat darter) is the source of this 144-nucleotide long non-coding RNA. RefSeq lists it as uncharacterized. NCBI's taxonomy places the organism in Eukaryota, Metazoa, Chordata, Actinopteri, Perciformes, Percidae. The record is from RefSeq and is a predicted model, not a curated record. The transcript is spliced from 3 exons.